AACGAACGCUGGCGGCAUGCCUAACACAUGCAAGUCGAACGAAGCCUUCGGACUUAGUGGCGCACGGGCGCGUAACGCGUGGGAAUCUGCCCUUGGGUACGGAAUAACUCAGAGAAAUUUGUGCUAAUACCGUAUAAUGUCUUCGGACCAAAGAUUUAUCGCCCAAGGAUGAGCCCGCGUAAGAUUAGCUAGUUGGUGGGGUAAAAGCCUACCAAGGCGACGAUCUUUAGCUGGUCUGAGAGGAUGAUCAGCCACACUGGGACUGAGACACGGCCCAGACUCCUACGGGAGGCAGCAGUGGGGAAUAUUGGACAAUGGGCGAAAGCCUGAUCCAGCAAUGCCGCGUGAGUGAUGAAGGCCCUAGGGUUGUAAAGCUCUUUUACCAGGGAUGAUAAUGACAGUACCUGGAGAAUAAGCUCCGGCUAACUCCGUG
RNAcentral lists this ribosomal RNA (433 nucleotides) under uncultured bacterium. RNAcentral describes it as "partial 16S ribosomal RNA". It matches the Rfam family "Bacterial small subunit ribosomal RNA", at positions 29 to 507 of the family's 1533-position model. The record is from RNAcentral.